Nematostella vectensis (starlet sea anemone) is the source of this 1020-nucleotide long non-coding RNA. RefSeq lists it as uncharacterized. NCBI's taxonomy places the organism in Eukaryota, Metazoa, Cnidaria, Anthozoa, Actiniaria, Edwardsiidae. The transcript is spliced from 2 exons. The record is from RefSeq and is a predicted model, not a curated record.
AUGGCGACGAAAUGCAAGCACCGCACGGAGGAAGGAAAAAGUUCUUGUCAAUUAUGUGGAAUUCAGUGCUUGUUUUUUUUUUUCUUGCCUUAAAUUUUGUGACUAAAGGAUGAAGUCAACUAGAGGAGUUCUACCAAUAUUCAUUCACGCCAAGAUUUAUGCGAAAAUAUUCCAAGAAGAAAGGGCCGUGUCACUGCUUACAUAUAAAGUUUCUAUGCUUUAUAAACUGUUGCUUGAAGCACAAAAUUGGCUAACUUAGCUUAGUGAAAACCUAGUAAUCAGUCUUGCACCUAAAAUUUAACCAGGGACUACCUGAGGGCCAAGAUGAAUGCUAAAGACUGGAAGACAUGAGAACUGAAAACCAUAAUGUCUUGAAGAUAAGAGUAGGGAAUUCUUAUGCACUAGUCAUUUGAAAUCUCCACACCCAUGGUCCCGGGAAAGGGUGGGGGAUUAGACUUUAACCUUAAACAACUGUUGUAAUAAAAGCCCCACCCUUCAGAAACAAACUGUUCUCAAAUGCCCCCACCCCUCUGUAACAAUAUUGCUAUGUUCAGUUAGUGAUUUGUUAUUAGUGAUUUUGUUAUUCAAUCACUGCUGCCCCUCGUGCCCCGGAUAUCACAGUAUUGGUAUAUGAUACCAGGGUUGGUUGGUAAAGUAGACUGAGCAUGAAUAAGACAAACGAAUCGACCAAGAAUCCUGAAUAAAGACUAUAGAAACUCUGAAUAUCUUUUCGUUACACCCUCGGGGAAAUAACUGUACAUUUGAGAUGACUUGUUAUCAGAAAUGAGCUGUUUAUAUUUCUCAAAACGUUUUUGUAAUAUGUUGAACAGUACAAUGCAAGUAUAUACACUUGUACAGAGAGUUUGCCUUCCCUACACUUCAUUUAUUCUGCAAAAUAUGGUUAUCUGUACAAGUAUAUACACUUGUACAGAGAGUUUGCCUUCCUUACACUUCAUUUAUUCUGCAAAAUAUGGUUAUCCUGUUGACUAUUUUUUAUGCAAUUAAAGCUCUUUGCUAUUU